This 493-nucleotide ribosomal RNA is filed under the name uncultured bacterium. Its description in RNAcentral is "bacterial SSU rRNA". It matches the Rfam family "Bacterial small subunit ribosomal RNA", at positions 10 to 523 of the family's 1533-position model. The record is from RNAcentral.
AGUUUGAUCCUGGCUCAGAUUGAACGCUGGCGGCAGGCCUAACACAUGCAAGUCGAGCGGUAGAGAGAAGCUUGCUUCUCUUGAGAGCGGCGGACGGGUGAGUAAUGCCUAGGAAUCUGCCUGGUAGUGGGGGAUAACGCUCGGAAACGGACGCUAAUACCGCAUACGUCCUACGGGAGAAAGCAGGGGACCUUCGGGCCUUGCGCUAUCAGAUGAGCCUGGGUCGGAUUAGCUAGUUGGUGAGGUAAUGGCUCACCAAGGCGACGAUCCGUAACUGGUCUGAGAGGAUGAUCAGUCACACUGGAACUGAGACACGGUCCAGACUCCUACGGGAGGCAGCAGUGGGGAAUAUUGGACAAUGGGCGAAAGCCUGAUCCAGCAAUGCCGCGUGAGUGAUGAAGGCCUUAGGGUUGUAAAGCUCUUUUACCCGGGAUGAUAAUGACAGUACCGGGAGAAUAAGCCCCGGCUAACUCCGUGCCAGCAGCCGCGGUAA